UAACUGAGCACUAUCAAAAUGGACGUGCACAUCAAUGCCACCCGGUGUGGCAAUCAGUCCUUCGGCAUCUCUUACUGUGGUCGAUUGCCCCACUAAUAAGUUGUGAUCUACCCCAUCCAUAAUGGCUGGAUUACCGGCUUUACCGAUACCCACUAUCUUGCCAUCUUUAAUACCGACAUCGCCUUUAACAAUGCCAAUAACAGGAUCGAUUACCAGGGCAUUACAUAACAGCAUAUCUAAUGUGCCAUCUUCACUUCCCAGCCCUGAGGUCAUUCCCAUGCC
The sequence is a small RNA, 282 nucleotides long. It matches the Rfam family "5' ureB small RNA". The record is from Rfam.